AUUCAGUGAUAGUGGCGGUGGAUAACAAUGACCUCCUACCAGCUGUGAAUUUCUCGUCUUCCACUAGUACUAGUAAAAGAGAUUGCUGCUGGCUAAGAAUACCCACCGGUGGGGUCUUGAGCCUUGGAGGAGCCUCCCUCGGGGUCAGGAAUCGAGCGGGGACACCGCUGGGCCACUCAGAAGGACCGUUUCCUGGGGACUGAUCAAGAGGAGGGAAGGUCCUAUUACAGCCCAGAGGCCACGUGGGGCCUGAGCCCCAAACCUCAGCUGCUGUUCCAGCAGCCCCGUAGCUGGGUGGAGCCUCCGGGCCUGACGUGGACCUUCACUGGAGAAGUGACUCAGGUGGGAAAAGUCUCCCCGGGCCUCUCCACCUGCAGGAUCGCCUUCCUACACCUUCCCCCGCCCGCUUCCUUCGCGCGGGCUCCUCCCAAUGACCACCAGCAGAACUGCAGCCUCCUGCCUUA
Molecule: long non-coding RNA, 464 nt
Filed under: Homo sapiens (human)
Lineage: Eukaryota; Metazoa; Chordata; Mammalia; Primates; Hominidae
Description: non-protein coding lnc-CIPC-5:1
Source: RNAcentral